AUGGUGCUCGGCGGCUGCGGCAACGGAGCUGAUGGAGCACGAUCCGACCAGUUCAACGGAGGCAGUAGCACGGGGCAGCGGCAGCAGCAUGGAGGGCGUCCGCUUGACUGGGAAGGUGAUGGAACUGCAAAUAGGAGUGGAAGCGGCAACCAUGAUGCAGGAAUUAAAGAUAAUAACUUAUAUGAUCCUUGGAACCAUACAUGGCCGUAUUCUGGGGGUUUUCAUUGUAUGUACUGUGGCCUAAAGCACAAAGGUGGAGGUGCAACCCGUGCCAAGGAGCACCUUGGUUGGAUUGUAGGUAACGUGAGGAGCUGCCUAAAUGUGCCAAGAAAUGUGAGAGAUGCAACGAGGGAGUGCCGGGAUGAAUCGAAGAGGAAGAAAAGAGAGAAACAAAAUAGCAGGCUGAGAAUUGAAAGAAAUAUUAUGGAAGGGCUGUAUCAACAAGGAGGGGUGAUUAACAUAAUAGAUGAUGAUGAAGAAGAAAUUCAGAUGAAUAUUAGAGAGGCAUUGCGUGACCCGAAUGUCUCCCGCAGAGUUGAUAGGAGGAUUGGCAAGGGGAGUGUGGGUGACGUGCGAGUUGCUGUUGGCAAAAGGAGUAUCACCGCAUAUUUUGACAAGCAAUUAUGCAGCAACAAAGUAUCUAUGCAGCCCAAGAUCAGUAGUGCUUUGGAUCCUAAUUCGAGAGAUGCACUUGGCCUAGCUUGGUCCAAGUUUUUUCAUGCCAAUGAUAUUGCUGGACGUAAAGCUGACUGUCCAUACUUCCAAGCUGCUUUGAAGAUCACUCAACAAUUAGGGCCUACUCCUAUACCAACCGCGAAGGAGAUUGAUGGAAAAUAUUUGGAUGCAAACUAUGAUGAAGCAACUUCGUUUCUUCAGAAAUUCAAACAAGAUUGGAAAAACUUCGGUGUGACCCUUAUGUGUGACUCUUGGACUGGUCCAACAGGAAUGAGUCUCAUAAACUUCAUGGUGUAUUGCAAUACACGAAUGUUCUUCCUCAAUACUAUUGAUGCAUCCGGUCAGACUCAGAAUUCAGACUUUAUCUAUAGAGAGAUUGAGAAGGUUGUAGAAGAGAUAGGCCAUGAACAUAUAGUUCAAAUAGUAACAGAUAAUGGGUCCAAUUAUAAGAAAGCUUGCAAAACCCUUAUAGAAGAACCAAAGUACUCUCAUAUUGUUUGGCAACCAUGUGCUGCUCACACCGUCAAUCUUAUGUUAAAAGAUAUAGCCAAAUUUCCUGAGGUUGAUGUGAUAGUCAAGAGUGCCAAGACAAUCUGUAGGUUCUUGCAUAAGCACAAUAAUCUACAUGAUAACAUGAAGAAGAACAUAGGUGGUGAACUAAUUAGACCAAAUGCCACCCGGUUUGGGACUGUCUUCAUGUUCCUUGAGAGUUACCAUUUGAAGAAAGAUAAAUUUAGGGAGUGGAUGGUUUCUCAGGAUUGGAAAGAGUGUCAGUGGAGAUAUGAGCCUGGAUACGUGUUUUCUGAAGAAUGUUUGUCUAGUAAUCUUUGGUGGAAUGCACUAGAGUGGGUACUAGGUUCGUUAAGGCCACUUUAUAAGGCCAUGAGGUAUGCUGAUACGCAGAAACAAUGCACUCUUUCUGGCUUCAAAAAAAGUAUGAUGCUCGCUAUACAACGGAUGGAAGCACAUCUAGGCCCUACAUCAAGGUUGUACCUUAGUUUCAUGCGCAAGGUGGGCAAGAGGAUAGAUGCAAUGGAAGAAGAUACGUUUAUGGUUGCAGCUGCCGUCCUUGAUCCAUAUACACAUUACAGCCUCAACCUUUGCAACCAUACAAAUUAUGCUACUGCACUAACAGAUGCGAUAGCGAAGAUAUUAGAUCCAAAGAGUGCUCUUUCAGCCAUUGAUGAAGUUAGUAAGUUUAGGGAGUGCCAAGGAAGGUUUGGGACCAGAUUAGCACAAGAAGCUGCGGCGAGAAUGGAGCCAACCCAAUGGUGGUUUCAAUUUGGAGGGGAUGUUCCUGCAUUGCAGAAGUGUGCAAUGAGAAUUUGCUCACAAUGUGUCUCAUCUAGUGGGUGUGAGAGGAACUGGAGCGCCUUUGCUUUGGUGCACACAAAGCAAAGAAAUCGCCUUUUAUAUGACAAGCUCCACAAGCUAGUUUCUGUCCGCUACAACCUAAAGAUACGUGCUGAAGAAGAUCAAGAGAAAGAGAGAGAUAUAGAUAAAGAGGUUGAUCCAAGUGCAUUGCUGAUAGAUACAACAAUGUUCGAUGAGACAAAUCCAAUAAUGGAGUGGCUGAAUGAGGAUGAAGAGGAUCCAAUUUUGGAUGGAGCCGAUGCGGCCAGUGCUGUUUUUGAGAAAAUAAGGCGCCUCAACUCAAGCAGGAAGGAUUCUUAUGUUGGUACAAAGGCUAAUAAGAAGAAAAGAAAGAGGAAUCAUGAUGAGGAGAAUGAGUAUGUCGAAACUGACAGUGAGAAUGACGACAACGAGAAUGAAUAUGUUGAUAAUGAGAGUGAGGAUGAUGAUGGGGUGAGUGAGGAUGAUGAGGAUGAUCAACAAGAUCAGCAAGAAACACAAAUGCAAGUGGAAGAAGAGACACAAGUACAAGUUGAAAAGGAGACACAAGCAAGCAUUGGCAAUUUGGAGACUCGUAGAUCUGGACGACUAGUUAGGAAGAAGACCAAGGAAAUCAACAGCCUCUACUCGUAG
RNAcentral lists this ribosomal RNA (2661 nucleotides) under Triticum aestivum (bread wheat). Its description in RNAcentral is "partial small subunit ribosomal RNA". Lineage: Eukaryota; Viridiplantae; Streptophyta; Magnoliopsida; Poales; Poaceae. The record is from RNAcentral.